Schistocerca serialis cubense is the source of this 2607-nucleotide long non-coding RNA. RefSeq lists it as uncharacterized. The record is from RefSeq and is a predicted model, not a curated record. The transcript has 3 exons. NCBI's taxonomy places the organism in Eukaryota, Metazoa, Arthropoda, Insecta, Orthoptera, Acrididae.
AUUCUGUAAAGUUGCUACUGUGAUAUCUGUGACUUCUCAGUCACUGCGAUUUCUAACAGAUACGCGAUUUCCUGCCCACCACUAAUACAAACACACAUGAGCCUGUCGUCUGCUAAAAAGCACGAAGAUUCCCACCGAAGGCGGUUAUGCAUCAUGUGGACGCACCUUCAUGAUAGAUCGCUGAACUUGGCCUUGGACGCAACGAUGUAAAAGUAUGUCCACAGAAUGCCUCUUUCCUCGUGAGCAAUUGCAAUUGCACGGGAAUAAUAGGGGCAUGCACAAAAAUUUGUGGAAAGAACGCAUUGGCAUUCCCGUGUCCACAUGUUGCCUGAUUGCGCAAGCAGUCUGCCAUGGAUCCCACAGUUUGUUUGGGUGCUUGUGCUGCGUUUAUUGUGAUGAAAAGACGACAAGAAGAAAACACACAGGCGACUAUAGGUAAAGGAGUGUCUGAAUAACAGAGAUGCGAGAAAUGUAUAAUGACAAUGCUUUUUUCGAAAUUACAGAAUGAGGUCACAAGGACAUCUUAGAUUUUCUGCUAGGAAAAGCUGCAGCGAUAAGGCUGGUAAUAACGUUUCGUUAAGUAGUAACCAGCGACAUAUAUACCUGUUUGAACUAUUUACUUCGCAUUUCAAGACGAAAUUUUUAAUUGACUAUUCCUGAAAGUGGGAAAUACGGGAGAAAUAGUUCAACCUGACUUUCUACAGUGAAUGAUGGUCUCACUGCAACAGCUAUCCAGCACUUAUGAGUUGUCGCUGGAAUGGAUGUCCAAUCUUGAACCACAAAAGGAAACCAUCCAAGAAAACUUUAAGAUCUUGCCACCAUCAUUUCUACCUUCCAACCAGAAUAGAGAAGCCUCGCCAAAUUAUAUUUCCCGACUGAAGAAACUUUCAAUCACGCACUGAUUAUCAGGUGAUGUCACACACAAAGCUAUUCUUACUACAGAUAUUGGUGUGGAAGUGUUUAAACAAAUUCAAAAGAAAUAGAUCACAUGAUCGUUUCGUAUUCAGAAAUUAAAGUUAGUGUCACAUUUUGGAGCACAAGUGCGAUGAUGCUGUAGCCAGGGAUAAAUUUCUUGGAGGCUUUUAAGGAACCAAAUCAAGGUUAUCAGGUAACAAUGAAUGGAAACUACAAGACUUAACUAGAUAUUGCAAAUUUCUGUGUGAAAGUGACAUGUAACAAGUCUUACACUGCUUCUCUCAUUUGUAAUAUGCUUAUUAUGCACUCGCCUGAUAUUGCCUUUAAUAUGGGCACGUUAACAACCGCUAGUGUGAGCAGGUGCACUUCAAUAUGGAGACAGUUGUGUGCUUACAGUGCAUAAGCAGCCCACAUGGCCAAGCUCUGAAUACUUUUCUUUUGAAACUCACAAUGUUUUUAUGCUAUAAAACAGAUCACAAAUCUGAAUUGGCUUUUGCCUGUUCUCAACUCACAAACAAAAUCAUUCCCAUCUUUUCCAAGGUCUUCCAGUAUCUCUUUUCCCAUUCAUUCUGUAGUUCAGGAUCUUAUGUUCUCAUGGAGUGUUGUCUCUGAUUUUCAUGAUACUGACAAAAGUUUUUCAUAACAAAAUUCAAAUGUUUACAAUGAACACGAGCAAUUUGGUAGAUUUUUGUGGACAAAAAAAUAAAGUGAAUGCUAUCUUUUUCAGUAAAUGACAAGGCUUUACCUGUGACACUGAAGAGUUAAUAAAGUGCCAUUGAAAUUUCAAACUGAUAAAGGCUCUGCAGUUUCUAUAGUUGAUCUACAGACAUACAAGAAAUUAGGCUCACCAAAGUUAACCGAGUUUCACAUUUUGGUAUUUAUCAACAGAGUAAUAUAUUCAUGUAAAGCAGCAGAUUUACUGGUUCUAACACACUAGUAUUCACAAUUCAUGAGGAGUGAAUGAGAUUCCCACUUACGUUCCUACUGGAAAGUUGCAAACAUCAUUGCAAAAAUAUGAUACAAUUUUUUUAGAGGCAACAAUAGCAUUUUGAAGGCUUCAAUAUGCACAUCAUUAUGAAGCCAAAUGCUAUGCCAAAAUUCUGCAAAACACAUAAUAUUCCAUUUGCAUUAAAGGACAAAGUGAAACAGGAGCUUGAGUAUCUGUAACAGAAUGGCAUUAUAGAAUCAAUUACUAGUAGCCGAAAGGCAACACCAGUUGUGGUAGUACAAAAACUGCAUGGCACAUUAUUGAUCUGUGGUGAUUUCAAAGUGACUCAGAGUACAAUCGGUUAAUAGAUUCCUAUCCAGUUCCAAAACUAGAAGAGUUAGUGUCUGAAUUAGCUGGCCGUGUAUGUAUAUUUUGCAAAACUUGAUUUGAAGGAAGCUACUUACAAAUACCUCUGGAUGAAGGAACACACAGAUUUUUGGAUAUAAAUACUCCAUUUGGAGUUUAACAGUACAUGAGAUUGCCAUUUGGGAUUGUCAGUGAACCAAGUUUGUUCCAGCAAUACUUGGAACUGUUAAUUAGGAAAUGUAGUAAUGCUGUGAACUACCUGGAUGACAUCAUUCUCUCAGGGAAAGGCUCCAGAAGGACUGUUAUGUAAUAUGGAAUAUGUCUUUAAGGUUUUAUGAGCAGCAAGUUUAAAGUGUAACAAAGAAAAGGACAUAGUAUUCUACUAGCAAGUCCAAUAU